UGCAGUCGAGGGGCAGCAUAGGUAGCAAUACUGGGUGGCGACCGGCAAACGGGUGCGGAACACGUACGUAACCUUCCUUUAAGUGGGAGAUAGCCCGAAGAAAUUCGGAUUAAUACCCCAUAAGAUUGUGGAGUGGCAUCACUCAGCAAUUAAAGAAAUUCGCUUAAAGAUGGGCGUGCGGCUGAUUAGGUAGUUGGUGAGGUAACGGCUCACCAAGCCAACGAUCAGUAACUGGCGUGAGAGCGCGACCAGUCACACGGGCACUGAGACACGGGCCCGACUCCUACGGGAGGCAGCAGUAAGGAAUAUUGGUCAAUGGACGCAAGUCUGAACCAGCCAUGCCGCGUGAAGGAUGAAGGUCCUCUGGAUUGUAAACUUCUUUUAUAUGGGAAGAAACCACUUUUUUCUAAAGGUGUUGACGGUACCAUAGGAAUAAGCACCGGCUAACUCCGUGCCAGCAGCCGCGGUAAUACGGAGGGUGCAAGCGUUAUCCGGAUUCACUGGGUUUAAAGGGUGCGUAGGCGGAUUAGUAAGUCCGUGGUGAAAUCUCCGAGCUUAACUCGGAAACUGCCGUGGAUACUAUUAAUCUUGAAUACUGUGGAGGUUAGCGGAAUAUGUCAUGUAGCGGUGAAAUGCAUAGAUAUGACAUAGAACACCAAUUGCGAAGGCAGCUGGCUACACAGAGAUUGACGCUGAGGCACGAAAGCGUGGGGAUCAAACAGGAUUAGAUACCCUGGUAGUCCACGCCCUAAACGAUGAUUACUCGACAUUUGCGAUAUACAGUAAGUGUCUGAGCGAAAGCAUUAAGUAAUCCACCUGGGGAAGUACGACCGCAAGGUGAAACUCAAAGAAAUUGA
This 857-nucleotide ribosomal RNA is filed under the name uncultured bacterium. RNAcentral's name for it is "bacterial SSU rRNA". It matches the Rfam family "Bacterial small subunit ribosomal RNA", at positions 56 to 913 of the family's 1533-position model. The record is from RNAcentral.